RNAcentral lists this ribosomal RNA (865 nucleotides) under uncultured archaeon. Its description in RNAcentral is "bacterial SSU rRNA". It matches the Rfam family "Archaeal small subunit ribosomal RNA", at positions 1 to 874 of the family's 1478-position model. The record is from RNAcentral.
UUUCCGGUUGAUCCUGCCAGAGGUCACUGCUAUCGGGGUUCGAUUAAGCCAUGCGAGUCGAGAGGGUUCGGCCCUCGGCGUACUGCUCAGUAACACGUGGAUAACCUGCCCUAGGGAAGGGGAUAACCCCGGGAAACUGGGGAUAAUACCCUAUAGGUUACAGAUGCUGGAAUGCUCUGUAACCCAAAGUUCCGGCGCCCUAGGAUGGAUCUGCGGCCGAUUAGGUUGUUGUUGGGGUAAUGGCCCAACAAGCCAGUAAUCGGUACGGGUUGUGGGAGCAAGAGCCCGGAGUUGGAUUCUGAGACACGAAUCCAGGCCCUACGGGGCGCAGCAGGCGCGAAAACUUUACAAUGCGGGCAACCGUGAUAAGGGAACCUCGAGUGCCUGUAAAUGCAGGCUGUUUAGGUGUUUAAAACGCACCUGGAGAAAGGGCCGGGCAAGACCGGUGCCAGCCGCCGCGGUAAUACCGGCGGCUCGAGUGGUGGCCACUUUUAUUGGGCUUAAAGCGUUCGUAGCUGGGUUGUUAAGUCUCUUGGGAAAUCUGGCGGCUUAACCGUCAGGCGUCUAAGGGAUACUGGCAAUCUUGGAACCGGGAGAGGUGAGGGGUACUUCGGGGGUAGGAGUGAAAUCCUGUAAUCCUCGAGGGACCACCUGUGGCGAAGGCGCCUCACCAGAACGGCUUCGACAGUGAGGGACGAAAGCUGGGGGAGCAAACCGGAUUAGAUACCCGGGUAGUCCCAGCCGUAAACUAUGCGCGUUAGGUGUAUCGGUGACCACGAGUUACCGAGGUGCCGAAGGGAAACCGUGAAACGUGCCGCCUGGGAAGUACGGUCGCAAGGCUGAAACUUAAAGGAAUUGGCGGGAA